GAUGAACGCUGGCGGCGUGCCUAAUACAUGCAAGUCGAGCGAACAGAUGAGGAGCUUGCUCCUCUGACGUUAGCGGCGGACGGGUGAGUAACACGUGGAUAACCUACCUAUAAGACUGGGAUAACUUCGGGAAACCGGAGCUAAUACCGGAUAAUAUAUUGAACCGCAUGGUUCAAUAGUGAAAGACGGUUUUGCUGUCACUUAUAGAUGGAUCCGCGCCGCAUUAGCUAGUUGGUAAGGUAACGGCUUACCAAGGCAACGAUGCGUAGCCGACCUGAGAGGGUGAUCGGCCACACUGGAACUGAGACAAGGUCCAGACUCCUAAGGGAGGCAGCAGUAGGGAAUCUUCCGCAAUGGGCGAAAGCCUGACGGAGCAACGCCGCGUGAGUGAUGAAGGUCUUCGGAUCGUAAAACUCUGUUAUUAGGGAAGAACAAAUGUGUAAGUAACUAUGCACGUCUUGACGGUACCUAAUCAGAAAGCCACGGCUAACUACGUG
Molecule: ribosomal RNA, 497 nt
Filed under: uncultured bacterium
Lineage: Bacteria
Description: partial 16S ribosomal RNA
Rfam family: Bacterial small subunit ribosomal RNA
Source: RNAcentral